RNAcentral lists this ribosomal RNA (1008 nucleotides) under Sphingobacterium anhuiense. Its description in RNAcentral is "bacterial SSU rRNA". It matches the Rfam family "Bacterial small subunit ribosomal RNA", at positions 59 to 1060 of the family's 1533-position model. The record is from RNAcentral. Lineage: Bacteria; Pseudomonadati; Bacteroidota; Sphingobacteriia; Sphingobacteriales; Sphingobacteriaceae.
AAGUCGGACGGGAUUGAGGKAGWAGCUUGCUWYGAUUUSAUGAGAGUGGCGCACGGGUGCGUAACGCGUGAGCAACCUACCCAUAUCAGGGGGAUAGCCUCUCGAAAGAGAGAUUAACACCGCAUAACAUCAUUAACCGGCAUCGGAUUAUGAUCAAAUAUUUAUAGGAUAUGGAUGGGCUCGCGUGACAUUAGCUAGUUGGAGAGGUAACGGCUCACCAAGGCUACGAUGUCUAGGGGCUCUGAGAGGAGAAUCCCCCACACUGGUACUGAGACACGGACCAGACUCCUACGGGAGGCAGCAGUAAGGAAUAUUGGUCAAUGGAGGCAACUCUGAACCAGCCAUGCCGCGUGCAGGAUGACUGCCCUAUGGGUUGUAAACUGCUUUUGUCAGGGAAUAAACCUUUCUACGUGUAGAAAGCUGAAUGUACCUGAAGAAUAAGGAUCGGCUAACUCCGUGCCAGCAGCCGCGGUAAUACGGAGGAUCCAAGCGUUAUCCGGAUUUAUUGGGUUUAAAGGGUGCGUAGGCGGUCCUAUAAGUCAGUGGUGAAAGACGGCAGCUUAACUGUCGCAGUGCCUUUGAUACUGUAGGACUUGAAUCUAUUUGAAGUGGGCGGAAUAAGACAAGUAGCGGUGAAAUGCAUAGAUAUGUCUUAGAACUCCGAUUGCGAAGGCAGCUCACUAAGUUAGUAUUGACGCUGAUGCACGAAAGCGUGGGGAUCAAACAGGAUUAGAUACCCUGGUAGUCCACGCCCUAAACGAUGAUAACUCGAUGUUUGCGAUACACAGUAAGCGUCCAAGCGAAAGCGUUAAGUUAUCCACCUGGGGAGUACGGUCGCAAGAUUGAAACUCAAAGGAAUUGACGGGGGCCCGCACAAGCGGAGGAGCAUGUGGUUUAAUUCGAUGAUACGCGAGGAACCUUACCCGGGCUUGAAAGUUAGUGAAUGAUCCAGAGACGGAUCAGUCCCUUCGGGACACGAAACUAGGUGCUGCAUGGCUGUCGUCAGCU